RNAcentral lists this ribosomal RNA (472 nucleotides) under uncultured bacterium. RNAcentral's name for it is "bacterial SSU rRNA". It matches the Rfam family "Bacterial small subunit ribosomal RNA", at positions 355 to 825 of the family's 1533-position model. The record is from RNAcentral.
UGGGGAAUAUUGGACAAUGGGCGCAAGCCUGAUCCAGCCAUGCCGCGUGUGUGAAGAAGGCCUUCGGGUUGUAAAGCACUUUUGUCCGGAAAGAAAAGCUUCGGGUUAAUACCCCGGGGUUCUGACGGUACCGGAAGAAUAAGCACCGGCUAACUUCGUGCCAGCAGCCGCGGUAAUACGAAGGGUGCAAGCGUUACUCGGAAUUACUGGGCGUAAAGCGUGCGUAGGUGGUUUGUUAAGUCUGAUGUGAAAGCCCUGGGCUCAACCUGGGAAUUGCAUUGGAUACUGGCAGGCUAGAGUGCGGUAGAGGAUGGCGGAAUUCCCGGUGUAGCAGUGAAAUGCGUAGAGAUCGGGAGGAACAUCUGUGGCGAAGGCGGCCAUCUGGACCAGCACUGACACUGAGGCACGAAAGCGUGGGGAGCAAACAGGAUUAGAUACCCUUGUAGUCCCUGAGCGGGCUGGCAAGGCGCAU